AAGUCGUAACAAGGUUUCCGUAGGUGAACCUGCGGAGGGAUCAUUACUGAGUUCUGGGUCUAACCGACCCGACCUCCAACCCUUUGUUGUCCGACUCUGUUGCCUCGGGGGCGACCCUGACCUUCGGUUUGUGGGCCCCCGGUGGGCACUAUUCAAACUCAUGCGUUAAUUAUGUCGUCUGAGUAUUGAUUAAAUCAAUCAAA
RNAcentral lists this unclassified non-coding RNA (203 nucleotides) under plant metagenome. RNAcentral describes it as "partial contains small subunit ribosomal RNA and internal transcribed spacer 1". The stretch from base 1 to 46 matches the Rfam family "Eukaryotic small subunit ribosomal RNA", at positions 1786 to 1831 of the family's 1831-position model. The record is from RNAcentral.